UCGGCUUAGAGUUUGAUCAUGGCUCAGGACGAACGCUGGCGGCGUGUCUAAUACAUGCAAGUCGAACGAAUUGGUGCUUGCAUCAUUGAGUGGCGAACUGGUGAGUAACACGUGGGAAACCUGCCCAGAAGCGGGGGAUAACACCUGGAAACAGAUGCUAAUACCGCAUAACAACUUGACCGCAUGGUCCGAGUUGAAAGAUGUUCGUAUCACUUUUGGAUGGUCCCGCGGCGUAUUAGCUAGAUGGUGGGGUAACGGCUCACCAUGGCAAUGAUACGUAGCCGACCUGAGAGGGUAAUCGGCCACAUUGGGACUGAGACACGGCCCAAACUCCUACGGGAGGCAGCAGUAGGGAAUCUUCCACAAUGGACGAAAGUCUGAUGGAGCAACGCCGCGUGAGUGAAGAAGGGUUUCGGCUCGUAAAACUCUGUUGUUAAAGAAGAACAUAUCUGAGGUAAUUCAGGUAUUGACGGUAUUUAACCAGAAAGCCACGGCUAACUACGUGCCAGCAGCCGCGGUAAUACGUAGUGGCAAGCGUUGUCCGGAUUUAUUGGGCGUAAAGCGAGCGCAGCGGUUUUUUAAGUCUGAUGUGAAAGCCUUCGGCUCAACCGAAGAAGUGCAUCGGAAACUGGGAAACUUGAGUGCAGAAGAGA
This 653-nucleotide ribosomal RNA is filed under the name uncultured Lactobacillus sp. RNAcentral describes it as "bacterial SSU rRNA". It matches the Rfam family "Bacterial small subunit ribosomal RNA", at positions 1 to 657 of the family's 1533-position model. Lineage: Bacteria; Bacillati; Bacillota; Bacilli; Lactobacillales; Lactobacillaceae. The record is from RNAcentral.